RNA transcript from Phyllopteryx taeniolatus (common seadragon), 2928 nucleotides. It is a transcript of the gene named atypical chemokine receptor 4, with no coding region annotated. The record is from RefSeq and is a predicted model, not a curated record. Lineage: Eukaryota; Metazoa; Chordata; Actinopteri; Syngnathiformes; Syngnathidae. The transcript is spliced from 3 exons.
UCUGGAGGAAACGAUCAAAGAAUGGACAAAAGUCGGUCCAGAUGCCACGUUCCCAGCACUUGUUGAGCGCAGGUCACCCAGCGACAAGUUGGCAGAUCAAGUGGGACUCGACGGUAUUGUUCUUGCACCUUUAUUUGCAUUUUGGACGCUUGGAAGACUGCUUGAUUGGCAACCAAAAACCAGAGCCUGGCCGGUCCUAUCGGAGGAAUAUGCAAUAAGGAUCGCUCGCACUUGAAUGGCUCACGUCGAGCGCGGGGCCUUCGACAUGUCCAACGACAGCUGCGGCCUCCCCUUGGACACGGACGUACUGGGCCUGACUUGCAUCUACGCUCUGGUCUUCUCUGCGGGCCUGCCCUGUAACCUGCUGUCCCUCUGGGGUUUGUACCACCUGGGCCGCUCGGGUAGCGGCAGCUGCCAGCUCGUCUACAUCCUCAAUCUGCUUCUGUCCGACCUCCUGCAGCUGCUCACCAUGCCCCUGUGGAUCCUGUACCUCCAGGGUGCUCACCGCUGGCCCUACGGUCAGCUCACCUGCGAGCUGGUGGGCUACGUGUUCUACGUCAACAUCUACGCCAGUGUCAUGUUCCUGUGCCUGAUAGCGCUGGACCGCUGCCUGGCCAUCGUGUUCCCGCUGGGCAGCCGCAGGGUGAGGACGGUCCGGGUGGCCGCCGUGUCGGGAUUGGCGGCGUGGACGCUCACGUUUCUCUUCUGCCUUUUGGGACUCUUGCCUUCUCUUUUUGACUCGGAGCGACUACUGUGUCUGGAGCAGUACCCAGUCAGCCCCAGAUACGCCCACUUCAAGAUCACCACUGUGGCUCUGGGCUUCUUGUUGCCGUGCGCCAUCCUCGGCUACACGUCAGCCCACAUCUGGGUCACGCUGCGACACUCGCCGUCGCUGUCGGCCCACGAGCGUCACAAGAUCGUGGGCGUCCUGGUGGUCAUCACGGUCAACUUUAUGGCCGUGUUCGGACCCUACCACCUGGUGGGCGGCUACAGAUUCGUGUCCUUGCUGCAGGCCGACGAGCCGUGCGCGCGGGAGCGCUCCAUCUUCCUGCUCUAUCGCCUAUGCUACGGGCUGACCAGCCUCAACACGACGCUCGAUCCCCUCUUCUACAUCUUCCUGUGCGCCGACGCUCGGCUGGAGCUGCGAAGGUCGCUGCCCUGUUUGGGGCGAGGCCAAAACACUGGCGAAGAGACAACUGUGAGCACCAGAGCUCAGCCGGAUGCCCAGAGACACAAGGAAAGUGGACAGAAUCGUCUUCUAAUAGCCUAAAUGAACCCCAUGAUUUUUGGGUCCAGGGAGAAGAUUUUCCAAGGACCCCCUCGUAAUCCUCGCUCCAACUGAACAUAACAACUGAGUCCCCCCAUAGGAAUUAAAAAGAUGCCUACUUGAGAACAUUGGGGGGGGUUAAAGUCAUAUUUGUAAAGGAAAACAACUUAUUUUGUCACACUAAAAUUUCACAAUAUUGCGAAAACAAAGUCCGAUUUUUCCAAGAUAGUCCUAAUAUGGUAUUAAAGUCAAAGUUUAACAUGAGAAGAAAGUCCUAUUUUAACAAGUGAAUUUCAAAAAGACAAUUUUACUCUUGCACUAGUUAGUAUGUGUUCUAUUCUCUAUUUUCUCUAUUUGUAUUUGUUUUACUCUCAGCGGUUGCAAACCCCGAACACUUUUGUCAUUCCAUGAGUCGCCCCGAUUCUCCAAAACUUGAACUCAACGCAACUGAUUAUUGAAUGAAAAUCAUCUGAUCUCCUUGAUGUGAACAUUUCAUUCUCAGGCAUUGUCUUCUUUUUAGACAUAAAAAAAAAAGAAAUAAAAAUUUGCCUUGAAAAGAAGUCAUAUCAAGAAAAGACCUGCCUUUGUUAUAUGCAACUCUUACAGCAUUUCCCGAGUGUUCCGUGGACGGAUUGGAAACAAUUGCUUAGUUGGAUCAGGCAAGCGCUUUUUCAACGCCUUACUUAGAUCACGCGAGGGAAAUUACAUUUACUCGCUUCAUAAAGUUUUAGAGCCCAAGUCAGCAGCCGUCCAAAAGACUUUGACAGCUCGGUUUUCUUUGUAAAUGUUCUUCUUAUUAUUAUUAUUCAUCAGUUUAUUUGUUACGCAAAAUGAGUAAGUCCUCCAGUGAAGACGAGCCAGAGUCACCGUCCAUUCCUUCGCUUUUGGGAAGGCAACACGGCCGUGGCUACGUUGGCACCAUUUGCUAAACUCCCGACAAGGUUGCUCGGCCCGCUCGUCGGAAAGCGGCAGAGGGCGCAAAUCAACGAUCAGCCUCCCCCACCAAUCCAAAUUUGAUCCUGCCAAAUAAUCACAUUUUUUUGUAAUAAACGUACCUGCAAUCUGAUUAAAUGUCUUUGUUUUACAGUUAAAAUUGUUUUGGUUUUUUUGAAAUUUGUUGUGGAAAAGCCCAGCGUCUUUAAGGCAUUUGGGAUGAAUAAACGCGCUUUGUUGUAUUUCAAGCUAGUAGCGACUUGAGUGUCAUUCAGGCCGUCAGUGGAGUGAAGAAGAAGAAGAAGAAGAAGAAUCACACAAAACAAAGGAAAAACAAAGGAAAAAGAGAAUUUCAAACCAGCACAGACGACAUGUUUUUUUUUUUCCACUGGAGGAGGCGUGUGUUUUGUCCUCACCCCCUUCUUUGUGACACGGUGGUGAGUCUCAAUGGAGAACGGGAUGUUCAAGCGCUGCGUGCUCUUAGUUGCUCUUUUUAGAGCCCGUAAGUUACGUAAUUCACCUCUUCUUCUGCAGAAAAUGAAACGGAGAUGUCGUAACAUGCUUUUGUGUCUAUUUCAGACGGUACUGUGCUCUUCGCCAGCCUGGGCGAAAACGCGCCAGGUAAUGGCUGAUGCCAGCAAGCGAAUGGCGGUUGACCCCGGGGAAAACUUCUUGCAUCUGCACAUUUCCAAUGUGCGGCUCUCGGACACGGCCAUGUACUACUGUGG